UACGGGGGGUGCGAGCGUUGUCCGGAAUCACUGGGCGUAAAGGGCGCGUAGGUGGCCUGAUAAGGGUGUGGUGAAAGUCCGGGGCUCAACCCCGGAUCUGCCGUGCCGACUGUCAGGCUAGAGUACUGUAGGGGCAGGCGGAAUUCCGGGUGUAGCGGUGGAAUGCGUAGAGAUCCGGAGGAAGACCGGUGGCGAAGGUGGCCUGCUGGGCAGUUACUGACACUGAGGCGCGACAGCGUGGGGAGCAAACAGG
Molecule: ribosomal RNA, 253 nt
Filed under: uncultured bacterium
Lineage: Bacteria
Description: partial 16S ribosomal RNA
Rfam family: Bacterial small subunit ribosomal RNA
Source: RNAcentral